GCCGCCGAGAUUGCCCUCCCUGCCCGGUCCAGUCCUCCAACCUCUAGCAAGGGGACGCGAAGUCGUGAUUCCCUGUCCAACUCUGGGGGCUCGGAAAGAGAACAAGUCGGGGGCCCAGGCUCAGCCCUUGGAGUUAAAGGAGGGCCAGACCCAGCGCCCAGGUCGGCGGGUCCAGCAGCCACCCCGCCCCCUCCGUGAGUGCAGCAGGGGUGAGGAGAAGCCAAGUUGCCUGUUAAUGGGAGCUCUUACCUCCCCACACCCCUGAGGAGCUCUCAGGGGACGAAGCGACGUCGAGCAGAGGAGCGAAGAGCGACCCCGGCCAGGAGCCCCGGGGGUGCGCUACGGCGGCUCAGGCUUUCUACUCUGGACGUGACCACUGAUACUCUGAUUUGUGGUACCUGUGAAACUCCUUCCAGUCUAAUCACAGUUUUGGAGCUCACUACCGUAGACCUACAACAAAUCUAGGGAGAGAGGGCACUGAUCGCCAGACCACAUCACCUGUUUCACCUCGUAUGGUGGUGAAUGGAACCCAGUGCUGAAGUUGGAGACUUAGGUCUUAUCUUCAAUUCCUCCUUUUUCCUUCGACUCACUCUUCCAGAUGCACACAUUCACUCCCUCACUAAGUCACACAGAAUGGACAGCACAUGAAAUAUAGGAUGUC
Molecule: long non-coding RNA, 661 nt
Organism: Ailuropoda melanoleuca (giant panda)
Lineage: Eukaryota; Metazoa; Chordata; Mammalia; Carnivora; Ursidae
Exons: 3
Source: RefSeq, a predicted model, not a curated record